Molecule: non-coding RNA, 860 nt
Organism: Ceratotherium simum simum (southern white rhinoceros)
Lineage: Eukaryota; Metazoa; Chordata; Mammalia; Perissodactyla; Rhinocerotidae
Source: RefSeq, a predicted model, not a curated record
UCCGCGGGGCGGGCCGGCCGGCCGGCCGCACCCCCGGCCUGGGGCCUCCGGUCGUAGUAAAACGGAGGCGGGUGGGGAGGCGGGCGCGAGAGCCCGCGGCGGGCGAGGCGAAGAUGGUGGCGGCUACUCCUCCCGUCAUACACGUGGACCUAACUGCACCAGAAGCUUUUCUAAGGAUACUUGCUGGAAAGGAAGUUUUCCCGAGUGGGCAAACCUGUCUAAGCAGAGCAAGCCAGACUUGGGUUUUUCCCUGUAGUUUGAAGAACCCUACAGAAUGAUUCUUGACAAAAUGCAACCUGCAACUGCCUGGAGAACAAUUCAUUGUCACAUCAAAGUUUAUUAUGUAUUUAAUGAAAUACUGUUCUCAGUAAUCCAUGACCCGGUGUAGUUUGUCUAUGAGAGAACUAGGAAUCUGAACUGAGCACUAAAGGUAAGGGGAGCUCAGUGUAAAGGCCAAUUUUUGGUGUCUGACUGGAAAUGAGAUCAUCAUGCCUGCUUGAGACUUUGCAGAUUGUCCUUUGCUUUAGAGGUUGUUUUACAGCUUACAUUGUGCUUAAAGUCUGAAUUAAUGUAGUUUUCUGUUUUGAUAAAGUUCAGAAUGUAAUAUUCUUAAUGAGUUUUAAAGGAUAACUAAGAUGGAUGUAUCUCCCGUGAAUUUGAAGACUAUGGAAAAAUUGUUAAGGUUUAGUUUUCUUUUUCCAAUAAUUUGAACACAGACAUAGCGUUCAGAGAUGCCUGCUUUUGUAUCUGCAAUUUAGGUAUGCUGUUUGUUUUAGUGCAUUUAAUGUAAAUAAAUUACGUGUUUUAAAAUUACUUGUUAAGAAAUUGUCCAGAAUGAGCAUAUUGAAAUAAAAAUCUUA